Long non-coding RNA from Zingiber officinale, 1120 nucleotides. RefSeq lists it as uncharacterized. NCBI's taxonomy places the organism in Eukaryota, Viridiplantae, Streptophyta, Magnoliopsida, Zingiberales, Zingiberaceae. The record is from RefSeq and is a predicted model, not a curated record. The transcript is spliced from 7 exons.
UUUUCUUCUUUCCUUGGCACCGCCGGUGUAGAUUUAUUCCCGGAGCCUCAAGGAUGAGCUAUCUUGUUCUUCUUUGAUUUCCCGCAAACCUCAGCGCCGAACCUUUCCUCGAUUCCUCCUCUUCCUCUUGUGGCGCUGUGCCCUAGCCGGAUCUUGGAGGUAAGGCAUCGUACUCUGUGGGUUGUUGAGAUGUUGUGUGACCGAUUCUUCUUUUCCCUUGCUCACCAGAGACGUUUGAUUGUUGAGGUAAUCUGGUGGGGGAGUCUUCUUCCGGCAGCAACCAUCUAUGGUUGAGGAUCAGCAGAAAGUGAACUGUUGAUUGCCUCUAAACCUUACGUGAGAAAGAUUCCAGCAGGGAAGUUUAGUUUUGUGGUGUUCUUUGGUCCCAUCAACUACUCUUUCAUGGUAGUAACGAUUCUGGAUUGGGGAUCAACAGAAGGGGCUGAGCUUGAGUUAAGAUUGGGAGGCCAGGGUAUAGGGUCUCAAAGCAAUUUGAUCCAGAGACAAAACAACGGUCUCUUCUAUUUCAGGACCUUAAGAUUGUUUAAUUCAAACAAGGGAAGGAAAGGUAGAAAAAAAGGCUAUGUGGGAAGUAGUAAAGGCUCCUCGACAACAAGAUGCCAAACAAUGUGGUUAUUAUGUGAUGUGAUUUAUGAGACAAAUUGUUGAAGAAGUUGAAAUUAUCGAGAGAAAUUCCCUACGAUCUAUAUUCACACAAAAGGAGUAUUCUCAAGAAGAAAUUGAUGAGGUGCGAUCGGAGUUGGCAGAAUGUAUACAAGAUCAUAUUUAUGAGUAGAUGCGUUCAAGUUUAUCCAACCCUUUGUUUCAAAGUAUUUUGAUGUUAUUGAUCCUUCAAGGACGAACAACAAUCUUUGACAAAGUUUCAGAACAAGAUACACAGUGGUAGGUGUUUUGUGCCAAGUCUCAAGCCGACAAUCCUUUUUGAACAAUAUUUCUAGUAGAAGUAAGCAUGCAGAUCGUUAUCUUCGAGGCCGGCUCACUAUUUUGUGUUUGUUUGUUUUAAAUUUGAAUGUCACUAUCUACUAUGAAACAGAACUAUUUAGUCUUUGUAUAUAGUUGAAUUCUUCUAUAAAUUCUAAUAUUUUGUGGUUGUAUUCUA